This 485-nucleotide ribosomal RNA is filed under the name uncultured bacterium. RNAcentral's name for it is "partial 16S ribosomal RNA". It matches the Rfam family "Bacterial small subunit ribosomal RNA", at positions 28 to 523 of the family's 1533-position model. The record is from RNAcentral.
GAUGAACGCUGGCGGCGUGCUUAACACAUGCAAGUCGAACGGUGAACACGGAGCUUGCUCUGUGGGAUCAGUGGCGAACGGGUGAGUAACACGUGAGCAACCUGCCCCUGACUCUGGGAUAAGCGCUGGAAACGGCGUCUAAUACUGGAUACGAGUAGCGGCCGCAUGGUCAGUUACUGGAAAGAUUUUUUGGUUGGGGAUGGGCUCGCGGCCUAUCAGCUUGUUGGUGAGGUAAUGGCUCACCAAGGCGUCGACGGGUAGCCGGCCUGAGAGGGUGACCGGCCACACUGGGACUGAGACACGGCCCAGACUCGUACGGGAGGCAGCAGUGGGGAAUAUUGCACAAUGGGCGAAAGCCUGAUGCAGCAACGCCGCGUGAGGGAUGACGGCCUUCGGGUUGUAAACCUCUUUUAGCAGGGAAGAAGCGAAAGUGACGGUACCUGCAGAAAAAGCGCCGGCUAACUACGUGCCAGCCGCCGCCGUAA